GUGCUGGGAGGGGUAGGUGAGGGUCGCGAGGCUGCCUGAGCUUCUGAGUGAGCCUGGUGCUUUUGGGAACGCGGGACGGGCGACCUGCGGUGCCAGGAGCGAGGCCGCGGCACCACUGCGCCGCUGCCGCCUGGAUGGGAAGUUAAGGUUUACUGCGAAGUCCACCCAGCGUUCCGAGGUGGCAAGGGCUCUGGAACAGCCACAUAAAGCCCUUGAAGAUAAGGAUGGUCAAAAAAAAUUAUCAUAUCUGCAGAAACUCAGAUCUUGGAAAGAUUUACUAGUUG
Long non-coding RNA from Symphalangus syndactylus (siamang), 284 nucleotides. RefSeq lists it as uncharacterized. The record is from RefSeq and is a predicted model, not a curated record. Lineage: Eukaryota; Metazoa; Chordata; Mammalia; Primates; Hylobatidae.